GGGGAGGUGACAAACCGUGGGGAGGAAGCCUGCGAAGAUGAUCGGUAAGCCAGCAAAGAAUCGUCGCUGGACAUCUUCUCGCCAAGACCCGCCAGGUGACGAACAGAAACUUGAUACGAGGCCGACGACUCCAGGCGAUUGGGCUGCUGACCAAGAAGCCGAACCGGAAGAAAGAGCGUAGGUAGAUCAAGCACUUGGGCGGGGACAGAUCACGUG
Molecule: non-coding RNA, 216 nt
Organism: Rhodopirellula baltica SH 1
Lineage: Bacteria; Pseudomonadati; Planctomycetota; Planctomycetia; Pirellulales; Pirellulaceae
Source: Rfam